This 491-nucleotide ribosomal RNA is filed under the name uncultured soil bacterium. Its description in RNAcentral is "bacterial SSU rRNA". It matches the Rfam family "Bacterial small subunit ribosomal RNA", at positions 99 to 633 of the family's 1533-position model. The record is from RNAcentral.
CGGACGGGUGAGUAACGCGUAAGAACAUACCUUCUAGUGAAGAAUACCUUAGGGAAGCUUGAGUUAAUACUGCAUAAUCCUCUGGGAAAGGUGCGCUAGAAGAUUGGCUUGCGUACUAUUAGCUAGUUGGUGAGGUAAAGGCUCACCAAGGCUUUGAUGGUUAACCGGCCUGAGAGGGUGUACGGUCACAUUGGAACUGAGAAACGGUCCAGACUCCUACGGGAGGCAGCAGUGGGGAAUAUUGCGCAAUGGGCGAAAGCCUGACGCAGCAACGCCGCGUGGAGGAUGAAGGUCUUCGGAUUGUAAACUUCUGUCUAGUGAGAAGAAUGACGGUAUCACUAAAGAAAGCACUGGCUAAUCUCGUGCCAGCAGCCGCGGUAAUACGAGAGGUGCGAGCGUUAUUCGGAAUCAUUGGGCGUAAAGGGUGCGUAGGUGGUGUGGUAAGCCUGUUGUUAAAUAUCCUGGACUAACCAGGAACAUGCCAUGGAAAC